GGCUAGAAAAAGAGAGAGAGAGAGACAGGUAAAGGAACAGGUGUAGCAGCAGAAUCGUUUCUUCAGGACACUGACAUAGAGCCGUCAUGCGCAUGCACAUGCAAUUCAGGCCAGUAAGAGUGGUCACGCUCGGCAGUGAUUCUAAGACUCUCCUUUCUGAGUCAUCCAGGUAACAGAGUUUUCAGUGGAAAUCGUGUAUUUUUUUUCGUUAUGCAAAUCUUUGUGAAAACCAAAGGGAUUUCCUCCAAUACUAACACAGAUAUAGAACAACUUAGAGGCCACUGUGAAACACACUGCACAGAUCUGUGACGGUUGAGUCCACUGGUUGUAGAGAGUUAACUGUACUUAGGUGUACCCACUCCAGGAUCUAAUAAGAUGUAUUAAGUCUCAACAUUGGUUUUCAGUCUUUCCCUGUCUCUGCCAGGGCGUUAUCAAUAACUUCUCAGUGCCUUCAGUGGUGGCUUUCCCCAAUCAUUUUUCAUUUUGCUUCGAAUGCAGACCAUCAAAAUUCAAGGCGCUUAGAGUGUUUUUUUGCAGCGGUUAUGAGCAGGCUUGAUGGAUGUGAGCUUCUUGCUAAGCUGUGUGAAUGAGAACUCCUGUUUGGAGCCACCCACGUGAUUCAGUGUUAUUGGGCUUGGGAAGCUCAAUGUUACCAAGUCACAUUAUUUAUUCCUUGAAAUACGUGUAUGUCACAAAUAUGUUAAUGAGCUUCCUCUGUGUGUGCUCUAUAUACAGCUACCCUGGGGAUGGGUUUUUAGAACUCUCUAAUUCAACACAUAACCUAAAUGGAAAUAUUUUUGACCAAUAUUUCCAGCUGAAUUUUUUUUCAGAAGACCCUUUAUAGAAUUGUAGUCAUUUUUCUGACCUAGAAGCACUAAGCUGGUCAGAUUGGAUACCCAUUUUCUGGGACAAUGUAUGACCAUUGGAAAAGUUGAACAAAACAAUCAUGGAGUGUCUCAAAGCCAUACCCUGUUUCCUGGUGGUUAGAGUUGAUAAUAUCAUUGUGAAGGCCUAAGUUUGUUUCUCAGUUAAGUAACCCAAACAAAAAUCACAAGCUACAUGAUAAAAUUCAAAGCCAAGAGAAAAAUUGAAGCAGAAAGCUAUUGCUGAUUUAAUGGUAAGACUACUGACCACUCUAACAUGAAGUCACAGAGAGUCCUAUACCUGAAAGCUAAGAAACAACAGUGGGUUCCAAUUGAAUGUCCUAUACUAGUUUUACUAUUUAGCAGUGACUAGAUCUGUGCACUGUUCACUAAGCGCUACUAUGUGAGACGCAUUGUGCCAGGUGGCUUUAAGAAGCCUAGAGGCUAUGCUUGAGUGGCAGGAAGUGGUUUUUACUAUGGCACUACAUUUUCAAUAUGGGACAAUGGGAUGAAAUUCUAGAAUUCAUCGCCUGGGAGUCCACCCCAACAAGCUUGGAAAAAAAAAAAAAGGGAUGCUGUGGUUACAGUAAGGGCAACGGUGAUUUCAAGAACUACAUAGCAACACUUGCUUGCAAAUGGUAGGGAAAUGCAGAGCUCUGCUGCCUGAAAGGGACUGGAAAUGUAAAGGAAUUGAGUGAGUGCCAGAGGGAAAGUUCAGUGGUGUGAAUGGAGAAGGGAACAGAAACUGAAUACUUGGAUGGACGAGCAGAUUCUCAUUGAUCUCUUCAACCAUGAGCCAGGGUGGCUGCACAGCUUGGCACUUGAUGGGGACAGGGUGAAGAUUUGGAGAUCAUGACUGACUGCGUGCGUGAGUCUAACAGACGGGAGUAUGCCUCUGAAGGAAAUGGCAAGGCAACGACAGGCCAGAAGCUCACACCCUCCUCUGAAUGUUCAUGCUAGACAGCAAUUGCAGGAUGCAGUGUUUUAGGUGCAGGUAAUCCACUUAUAUUUAGAUUAUUUUGGCAAUUUUUAAAGUAAGUAUUGUAUAUUUAUAUGGAGUUGGGCUCAACUCAGGAAAAUGUUGUGAUGCUCAGGACUUUGUUCAAAUGGAAGAUACUUUAUUAUUUUAUUGUAGACAGUAAUACAGGCACUUGCUCUGUGGCACAGAGUUUGCCUUUUGUGGCUUGAGGAACGUCAUCAAGCUCAUUGUCCAAGAGCUGUUUGUAGUAGGUGUAUGAGCGUACACAAAAUUGGGUCUAAAGAUUGGAUCACUCGGGGCUGGAGAGAUGGCUCAGCGGUUAAGAGCACCCGACUGCUCUUCCAGAGGUCAUGAGUUCAAUUCCCAGCAACCACAUGGUGGCUCACAACCAUCUGUAAAGAGAUCCGAUGCCCUCUUCUGGUGUGUCUGAAGACAGCUGCAGUGUGCUUAUAUAUAAUAAAUGAAUAAAUUUAAAAAAAAAAAAAAAGAUUGGAUCACUCACUAAAUACGAGAAGUGACAUACAGUCCCCCGUAAAAAUAAGCCCUUUUAUAAUAUAUAUGUAUAUAUACAUACGUAAAUGCAUAUAUACAUAUAUACAUACAUACACACACUAAUAUACAUGGAAAACGUGAAUCAGGUUGUUGGACUUGAAAUGAGCACAUGAGGAGAAAACUCUUCACAAUCUUUAUUUGAUGACAUUAACUUGUACUAAUUGAAUACUUAGUCUCUGGAGUAAAUAGAAAUAAAAUGAACUGUGCUAAUGUUUAUGUAGCUUGCUCAGUAGAUCUGAUGUAGCUUUCCCUCACAGCUAUGAUGCUGAUAUCCCUCUCACACUAACUCUGUCUCAGUUGAAGAUGUUGGAAAGGCAUUUUACAACAGCAGUGACCCGAAUUCUUUCAGUAGACCGAAAAUAAAAAUGUAUUUAUAUUGGUUUGUAAAAUACACGGUUUGGGGGCCAGCGUCCAAAGUAAGUUUUGAUUAAGCAUUGCAGGUCAACUCAUUUUGCAUUUUUUCUUCCCUGGUGUGCGUUACAGGGCAGGAUGUUAACAGGGAUAUGGACAUAAAGAUUGCUACUUUCUGGAAGGCUUUCUUGUUAGGACAGAGUCAGGCGAGCCGUGACAACAGCAGGUAAAUGCUCACAUAAGGUCUGCUAGGAGAGUGGCAGGGACACCUGGAGUCCUAGCCUAGAGUUGGUGUGUGCGCACGCGUGCGCAUGAGACAGAGAGAGGGGGUUGGGGGUGGGGCGUGAUUCUAGAACACGGGAAGUUGGGAAGUUGCAGAUCUGACACUCCAGGAAUAGGAAUGGAUGCCUACAAAGAAAGCAAGCCGGGACAAGUGCUGCUAUUUAGAAAAUGAAGUGUCACCCACCCUUUGUCACAAGCAACCAGUGACUUGUUUUGACCUGAUCAAAUGAGGAAACGACCUAGAGAACCUUUAGUUGUAUGAAACUGUGGUGUUUACAAGACUAGAUGUGAUAUUUUAUUUUCUACAGUGGCCUCUGAACUACAUCACUAGCAACAGGUAAGGCGAGGAAAAGAAGGGGCUGAAGAAGGCGGAGAGAAGUAGACUUAAGAACAGAGCCUGAGAAAACAGGGCUAGGGCAUUUUGCAGCAUAUCGCCACUGAAUUAAGUUAGGUGGCAUGGCAUUCCUUACAGUAAAUUUAUCCCCCCCAUCCUCCUCUUUCUCCUAUUCCUUAGAAUCUUCUCCUCCCCCCUUUGGGACUUUGUACUGUAGAGCCCACUCCCAUUAAUAGUAGGGACUAAAAAUCUUCCUUCUGACUCUGUCUCCUCUUCCCUUCUCUUCCGGGCCCUCAUCUCCCUCCCACCUCAGGCUCCAGGAGAGGGAGGACCUGACUUUAACAUCCAAAGGAAGGAAGUGAGGUUCUGAAGGAGGUGCCCAGAAGCAGCUAUCCCAAGUGGAGGUUUCUACUUCCAGGGUAUGCAAUCCCCUGUCUCUGAAGUCAUGGAAAAGAAAGGGCAGGAGCAAGGAAGGAAAAGACAGCAGUCUGCACCUUCACUCACUUCCGCUUUAAGAAAGAUGAGAGAGAGAGAGCUUCUUGCCUUCCAGGCAUUGGUAUAGGACAAGGAAGGGGGUACUUUCAGAGAGAGUAACUGUGUAACUGGUUCAGAGAGGGUAGCUGUGAGCAGGCAAAUUCUUUUUGAAAAAUUGCUUUACCGUUACAAAAUAAAUGCACAGAGUCUGAAGAUUUAGAAAGGACAAGGCUGUAGCAAUAUUUCCCUCCUGCCAAACGACACCUGCUGAGUCAAAGGCCAGUUUUAAGUGCACCACACAGUACUUUUUUGCCCUUUCAAUGGCAAAAAUUGGAGACAAAGAAUUGCAGUGUACUGUUGGCUUACACAACAGUAUUCUCAAAAACAUCCAGCAGGGGGAGCUCUAAUAUACCUUUGAAGCUCAACAUUUAAAAAAACCAAAACAAAAGAAAAAAACAAAACAAAACAAAACAGAGGGGCAUUGUUUUUGAGCUGCCAUGCCAGUGAACAAAUACGUGAGGAGGAAGACCAGUUACAUGCUCAGAGGCCAAGCGACAGCACUUGGGGGAGGAGGGACACGUGCAGUGUCCCACAGUGUCUCCUUGCCAUGAGCCUGUAGCUGUGAAGCAGUUAAACAGGCAGGGCUGGGGCUCUCGCAAGAGAAGGGAGCGAAGCUGACUUCUGGGCAAGCCUAGAAGUUAUUCUUUCCUUCUGAAAGGAUCUUAUUGUUUCUAGAGCAGCCUUGAACACUGGCUCAGAAACCACAUUUUAAAACAGAAUUUUCAUUGUUGGUUGAAGGAGCUACCGAAAUGCCAAAUGGCUAAGUCCCUUACUCAGUGGCUUGUUGGGUGGUUUUCUCUUCUCCUUCAAGUCAGAAAAAUGCUGUGUUUGUAAAAAUUGGUGCUAAAAGGGCAAGAAAUCAUAGGUCCUCUGGGCCAUGUAAAGAAGGAAUUAGAGCUUUCAAACACACAAGCUCGCGCGUGCACGUGUACGCACGCACGCACGCACGCACGCACGCACGCACGCACGCACGCACAAUGAACAAUUUACUCAAGAAAACAGUGAGGAGUUUAUAGACUGAGAGCUACCCUGUAUUCUGGGCAGUGUUUGGAGGUGGGUGAGCGGACGUUCAACAUGAUAGAACAACUUCACCUGAAGGAAAGCACCCAGUGACCCGACCCCUUCUAUUCUCUUGCCAAUAUGAAGGCAAAGUUUUUGUUUUACACCUUGAUGGUAUGCCCACAUCUAAAAGUUUUAUACAAGCUCCUGCACAAACUUUAACUAGACCAGUUCAGACCAAGAGGCACUAAAUAGAGCCAGUCUAGACAGAAAAUGUAUGGAAACCAUAUGUCCUUUGGGCGUCUGUCUUACAAAGACUGCCAUUGCCCUGGAGAAAUCCUUCACAAAAUAUGCUCUUAGGAAAAAAAGAGAGCACACAGGGAGAAGAGUGCUUAAGAUGACGGCUGGGCUCGGAGAAAAUAGGGGCGAAGUGUUUAUAAAUGCGAGGCUCUGGUUUCCCUGCACAUCUGUAAGUAAACGGUUUGAAAGGAUGGGCCAAGGUAGAUAACAUUUAUAUUCCCAUUGUUCUUUCAGGCCUCCACAGAACGUUAGGCAGAGGGAUCUCCAAGCCACUCUGCUCUCACCCGCAGAGAGCUGUUUUGAGUAAGGCUGUACGUGGAGGAGGCCAGAGAACUAGAACAUUCUCUUCUGAUUAUUACCUCAUCCUGCUGGCCUGCCAAACACAGCUAGAAGGCAGGUGUCCACCAUAAGUAACUAGCGAAAGGCUGCUCUAGAGAAUGGUGUGUGGGACUAGAGAGAGAAAGGGAGGGGGGCUCCAAGGGGGUUGCAGUAAAAGGGGUGCUCCUAAGCCCCCGUUUUUUCCAAUUUAACCUUGCCUUCUGAACAAGAGACACGACUAUUCUGUCUUCCCUAGUCUCAUCAUUACACUUGAAGAUAUGCUUUAAUUUUAACCAAUAGUAUUAUAGAUUCUGCAGAGGGAAAAAGUAAAAUAUGCAAAUUACCAUGACCCCCUCCCCCAGCAUAUUAAAUGAAAACUGCCAAGGGCCAGGGAGAGCAUGAAGCAUGUGGACACUGCCGAGGUUCCUUGUGGCUCUUGACACUUUUACUGAAAUUCCCCACUCUGCAGGGAAGGGGACUAGGAAACAGAACAGUAGGAUUGAUAAGUAGUACCAGCAGGAGUGCCUCCAGGUACUGUCCCCUCACCUAGAAGACUGAAUUAACAGUAUGUGCCAGAUAGACUCACAGAGAAAGGGUCUUGAGUGAAAAGAGCAAAAGCAGUAAGAUUGUGCUUUUAAGAAAACUCGAGAACCCUCAAUAUGCUUGUUCAAAGACAGUCACGUUUUAAAGGUUAAAGAUUCUUAUACUGGCUUUCAAGUAUUAAAUAGUAAGAUGUGGAUAGGGUCAUUUAGAGUUUUGGAAGUAUUAAGGCAGCUUAAUUAUACUGCAGGGCAGAACGCUAACCACUGCACGUCCCUGGACAAACAGUCAUAUCAACAUCUACUCACUAUGGAUGCCUGAACUGAACCGAGAGCGUUUGGCUGGGUUAGUUGAAGUCUCCUGGUGAAGUUACGGGGUUUUUCCUCCAGUGCUCCUGUUUAUUGGUGGUUCUGAACCUUUCAGCUGGUUUUCAUGCUAAUGGCUUGUGGUGCUUGGGUUUUAUUUUGGUGUCAGGCUUGGAUAUGUGGGGGGAAAGUCCUGCCAUGGUUUGUCUAGUGAACACACCCACUAAUAUCGCCUCAGUUUUUCACCUCAAAGCCAAUAAUUAAGAUAUUGUAGAACUUGUCUGACAUGAGGGUUUAUCAUUUUAGUUAUUAAAGUAGUUUCCAACACUAUAGGGAGUGUUUUUAAAAAACCAGUGGAUGUUUGGCUUAGAUCUUUUUACAGCCUUUCCUCGUGGAUGCAACCGUAGUGGCAGAGAGUAGGCACAUCUUGCGGCGUAGGACCUGGGGCAUGAGGCGUAAAGGAAGGUUUAUCUGAAGGAAAUUCAUUCAGUCCUAAAAUUAUCUCCAGGACCACACUGUGAACCUGAAAGGAUACACAUGGUCCAGAAUUUGUCUUGUGUAAGUAUUCUUUGUCGAGCAAGCCACCCGCAGGAUUAUAAAAUGCCCUGUAAGUGUUCCCCCUGGACAAUAUAGUAUACAUCUGUAACUGAACGGUUGGGGAGGUUAGGAACUCAAGGCCGGACGUGGCUAUAAAGUAAGUUCAGGGACACAGUAGACUGUGCAAGACUUUGAUUCAAAAACAACCAAACAAAAUAGCCAAAUAAUCCAGAUAAGGGCCUGCGAAUUAAUGUGAGACUGAAGUUUGCAGAUGAAAGAGAUGUUUCCAUGGUGUUGCUUCAGAAUCUCUAAAACCAAAUUUGAAUGAGUACACGACGGAGGCAGGAGGGAUAUUUGGUUGCAGACGAAUGUCAUUUUCCCACUUAUACUAAAAGCCAUCUGAGGCUUUCUCACACUGUGCACCUUUUUGGGGGUGGAGAUGAAUCAGGAUCACACUGUACCUCAUGAUGGCCUGAACUCAACUUUGUAGCCAAGCCUGGCCUUGAAUUCGUGAUCCUUCUGCCUCUACCCCCCAAGUUUAUGGGGCUGGAGGUCCACCUUCAUGUUAGCUCAUCGAGGUUUUCAGGCUUCCCCUGAAGCUUUGGAUAGGUUUGCAGUAGAGUAUCUAGGCUCUUCGCUUUCCCCUCUCUCGGUUACUGUGUUAGCCUUCCCAUCGAAGCAUCCGGAAAGGGUGCUGCCUAGGGGUGACUCACACGUUGACCUGUGUGUUUAUGGGGUUCCCAUAAGAGCAGUGAGAAGAGUAAUUAUACCUUGUCUCAUUUUCUGGUGCUUAGAUCAUUCCCUGUGUGGGCCAUUUCCUCUCUCUGAGCAAUGGAAACCAGGAGGCCCCACUACCACCGAUGCUGAGACGGAGAAUCUGGCUAAUUGCCAUUUUGAUUACCGCUCCCCCUACCUUCUCCCCCCCACCCCCCUCGAAUGGAACAGGUUCAUGUGGUUCAUGCGAACUGAUUAUUUUGACUGAAAAACAAAGAGUGGAUAUUUCUCAGUGCUUGUUGGGCAAUGCUUAAAAAUAAGGAACUAGAGCACUCCGCAUUCAGUGUUCGUGGUUUUGCCUGUCGUGGCUCCGAUACUUAAAGAGCAGUCAGUCGCAAAGAAUGAGCCCGUGGCUCAGGGAGAGUUCCUGAAUACCUCAUGGCUUUCGACAUUGCCCUAGGCUGGAGUUCUGUUUUGGGCUAGAGUUGCCAUGUGAUCUAAACAUGUAAAUGCUCAAGUAAUGUGGCAUCCAUAAACAUGGAGUGUCUCUCAGACCCGGAGCCUUUCCAGAAAACCCCACUCUGGCACUGACAACUCGAGCUUGACCAGAAGUGUAAUAUCCUUGGCAACAGAGUCAGCGAACCAGAUGGGGUCCAUUUGGCAACUAAAGGGUGUAAAUACGUGUUUAGAUUCAGAGGUUUCCUCGGACAAUGCUUCCAAUAUGUUGGCAUGGGUAAGCUAAGGAAUUUUAACGCCGGGCGGGCACUUAAAAAUUCUCUGUUUAAGCAGCAAUAAAUGUAUGGCAAGCAGGCAGAGCCAUCAAGCCCUCAGCUAACUCCCGAUCGCCUUUCUUCUGCUCCGCAGUUAGGUGUCCCGGGCACAUUCACAGAACAAGAUACUGCCCUGACAACUUUGUUUUAAACUUCCUGUCUGUCUUGUAAGGUUUUUCCAAGUCUCACGUUUAAUCUUUCAUAGUAGCUGGUGAGUUGGAGGAAAGGAAAAGGGUGGGGGGAGGGCUUCCCGCUGCCUAUUCUUAGAGUUUGCUGCUUGGAUAAAAGUUAGACAUGAAAGAGGUGCAAUUCGCACACCGUGAGUCUCUGAGGCCUUUGAAAAAUACGCUGUCGAACCAGGAAUGCCUGAGUUUUUUGAAAACCGCGCUUUCCUUCCAGCGAGGGGAAUUGAAAGAGCUUGGUGGUGAAACUCGAGCCCUCGCUGGCUCAUGUGCGUCCCUAAGUCUGGAUGUCUAUUUACACAUGGUAGAGUAUUUCCCCCCUUUCUCGGAGCUGACACCAACUUGUAUAUAGGAACAUUUGGUGGAUUACAGCUGGUGACAGUUUGCUGCUGACUGGCCACAGGAAAAUUAAUCAGCAUCAGCUAUGCCUUUUCCCUGGCCGGUGCCUCUUUUGCCAGACUCCGGUCUUGGCUGUCUUCCUCUAUCAACCAGGUGAACCCUAGGGCAGAACUGGGCACCCCGAGAUGCAAAGGGGCUUGUCCUGCAGUGAUGGAGCUUAGCCAUGAAAGAGCUCCAAAGGGAACAAUGUCUGAGCUAUUCGUUCCUGACACAGACAGGGAAGCAAGCAGUGGUGUUUGCUUAGCUGAAGGCCUGUCACCCUCUGCUUGGCUAACUGUAGCCUUCGGUAGGAGGAGCUGUCUCCUGCCUGCAUUUAUGGUAUUUACAUUUUGCAUGACGUGAAUCUUUUCUAAUUUCCCUUUUCGUUUUUACUUUCCUGUAACAUAGGAUAUGUGGGAAAGAUUCAGACACAAUGAGGAGAGAGAGGCAGAUGCGGGUCUAUCUACACACUGCCACAGAGUUCACACAUUUCGACCUUGGAGACGCUGGUGCUGUAUGAGGGCCUCGCCUAAGCAGACCGUCAGGCAUCUAGGCUGUGGCUAGAUGGAAAUGUCUGUGUAAAAUCCACUCUACUUUGCUAGACCCAAGGAGGAAACCACCAAAAUAAUUUGACUUUCACUUAAACCAUAUUGAAAACAGGAUCUGAAGAGUGAAAGAAACCUUGGACAUUAACCAUUGCUUUUCAUUGUCAUAAGAAUUGAAACAGUGUACUGGAAUAGGAACCGUCCUGGAAAUAGAGCGGGCUUUUGGAGGUAUAUUUAAUAGAGAGCCUUAGAUUAAAGCGGACGCUUUUUUUAGAGAGCAGUGGUUGAAAUUUUAGUUUCAUUAAAAUACUGUGAACUCCUCGUGACAACUCGCGUUGAACCUGCAGCAAAUCAUUAAUUACAUCUGGAGGUUUCGGCACCAGUUCCUUUUUAAUAACACGGUUGCCUCAUGAGGUGCCUGGAAUCUAAGAAUUUGUGAGAACAACUUAAAGUUGUUCUGUUUUUAGCAAUUAUAUUUAAGCCAUAAUAUAGUUUUGUUUUUUUUUAACUUUUAAAAUCUAGUUGCUAAAAAAAUAAAAACAGUUCCCUGAUCAUCCAGAAUGUCUGAGUAUGGUUUUUAUUUUUUCUUUAAGGAGGGCUGGCUAGUCAGGAGAAACAGAGUGCUCGCAGCAGCUGACAUCACAAAUCACAAGGUGAUUUCACCGUUUGUCCCAGUGACACUCGGCUGCUAAAGACACCACAGUUUGAGAGGGCUGUCAGGAGAGGAGAGGGUAAGUCAGGAUGUUUCCGUGGGUGACCGCAGGGAGUGACACCCAGGCUAGUCACACGGGCUGCUCAGUUUCCAUGAACUCUGAGCCCAGCGACUUCAAGGCUCAACAGCUUCCUCCUUCACAGCACCAAACCUUGAUGUGAGGAAUGCAAAGAUAGAAGAGUGAUGGGUUUGUGGUUUGUCCUGGCUUGAAAUUUAGGGAACUGCAUAACAAGGACAACAGAAACCUCAAAUAAAACCAGCAGAAGUCGUACCCAAAAUAGAAAGGAUGCUGUACCAAUGGUAACUUAUGACAAUGAGACCUAUGAAAGAGUUGGGGAUACGAUCAGGCAGUGCGAAGCCAUUGAGAUCAGAGACCAAACAUUUAAAACUAAAUUAUGACGAAAGUCAUUUGGCCUUAACUUUUGUAAUAUGGGGGCAUCAGUUGUUUUGGAAAGGGGGCAUGUACGUCUUCCUGCACAGCUGUGUGCUCUGGUAAGUCAAAGAAACCAUGGAAAACACCAUUGAGGAACUGGGCAAAGUCUUGAUGCACACACCGUGAAGGCUUUGUCUUCCUUACAGGGCUCACAAGAACAUCGCUUGAUGGACCAGUUCUUGAUUUCAGUCAUCUAGGUGAGCUAAAGCAAAAGCCAAAUGGAGUGAACCAGGCCUGGCCAUCUUAGAAACUGUCAGAGAUGGCGAAUAAGAAUGGGUUGGAGAAAGUUCUUCUCUACUCUUUUAAAAGUGGGAUAUUGAGUGGUGAGGUAGAUGAAGUUUGCUCUCCCUUGGCUAGGGCUAGAGACCCUUCCUCCCACCCUUAUCCUUUUUGAUCCUUGCAAAAGAGCUUUGUCCUAGGGAAGGGGCGGGUGUGGGUGUGGGUGGGUGGGCAAGGACAAACGAGCAAAAUAGUGCCAGAGUUAGCUAGUGCCAGGAAAAACACACUUGGAUUCAGCUAGUUUGUUCUGUUAAUGUCAAAGACUACACUUUCCAAUUAUCUAAUUUCAAGAAGUGGUAACUGAAAAUGGCUAUGCUAACUCUGAAGUUGGUGUUUGAUGAAGAUUGGGAGCUGCAAUUAAGAGAACCAGGCGCUGUCUGCUUGAGGCCAUCCUUCUAAAAACAGACCCAAGGCUGGUGUGGACUUUCAAACAGGGUUUUUUGUUUGUUUUUGUUUUUUUCUUGUCAGAGAACUUGAAUGGAGGCAAGAGAUAUAGGAUAGUCCAGUCAGUCAAGCCAUGGGGGAAAAAUGUCCUAAAGAUCACAGAUUUGUGUACACCCCACUUCCUAAUGACAGGAGUAUCCGUGCUAGUGAGUGUCUCUAGGAUGCUCCUUAGUUCGGGUGGAAGUAAUUAAAACUGACACGCAAUGUUUCCUGCUCUUGCACCAAAAGGCUGAGUCAAAAAUCAGUCCAACACCCUGCCCUACCUCUUCCUGUAUAUUUGAAAUGGAAAGAUAUGGUAAAUAUUCUGGUUAAAAAAGAUGGAAUAUUCAAGAUUCCUGGGCCGUGCACCAAGGGCUUUGACGACCUUGGAAUACGUUGAAAAGAAAAGUUGUGAUCACUGGUCGCUCAGACUAUGGGGAGGAAAACUGGCCAGGCGCACACUAGGGUGGCGUAAAAUCUUUUGCCCCUAGAAGUUCUGCUAUUGCCUUUGUGAAAUGAAAGGCCAGCAGGGGACCAGAGGGACACCCCUUGUGCUGGGAUGUCAUGGGAGUUUCUCUAGAUUCAGGUUGAAAAGGGAGGAAGGUCCCUUAACAAAGCAAAGAACUUUGGGGAGAAACAAAUUAGAGUUUUCUCCGUGGGAAGCCAAACACUUUUCUGGGAGGUGAUGGAUAGGGCAUCUUAAUUAUUUAGUUUUUUUUUUUUUAUAGAGAAAAUGGAAGAAAAAGGACAUAUAAACAAGUGGAACAAGGUGUUGUUUCUAUAAGAGCUUUCUUCAUUUUCUCUUUUCCUCCUUCCUCUCUCUCUGAAAUCUUAAACCCCAUUUCUGGCUUGCAUUUGGUAGGAUUCCUGCUCUGGCUUUUAUUAAAAACAGACGUUGUGAGUUCAGAAUCUUCCAUCUAAAGCGAGGCUUUAAUAGGCGUCAGGACCCUGACUGGCCUCCAGCUCUGCUCAGGUGACCCCCCCCCAACCCCCCCCCCCCACAGGGAUUCCCUCCCAGCCUGCUCCACUGGCCCUCAAUCUUGAGGGCUCAGCACAAAACAACCAGCUUUCUCUCUUUCAAUUCAAACUCUUCAUUUCUGUUUUAGAUUCAGGGCGGUACACAAACCUGAUCAAGUUAAGUCUGGUUUUAACUCGGGAGCGUUCUAGAGAUUUUGAACAGCUCAACUGAGGUCCUACAGAGUCCCCAACAAGGGCUCCCCCUUCCUGCUUCCAUGUCCUUGCCCUGGCAAUGCACAUGGGUUACUCACUGACUCCCACCCUUCUGCCUGCGUGCAAGCUCAAAAAUACCAAAGCUAACUCCACCCUGCUUAGCAAAUCAGUUUAGCAUCCGAAAGCUGAUUUUUCUGAAGAGCGCUGGCAAGCUAGCUUAUUGGAGACCGACAGGAAAAGCAGUGAAGCGAGCAGGCAAGACUUGCACCCUCAUUCCUUAGCACAGCACAGCACAGCCACAGGUCCCUCUGGCUCCUUCUCAGAGCAAAACAGGCAAAACAACAGAGUUCAAGGCUCCCCUGGGACUUUGCCUUCCCACUCUCACAUCUCACCCCCCCCCCCAACCCCCUUUUUCCCUCACACCGCCAUACUCUCCUGGCAUAGCAGCAGACACUGUCCCAGUCAAUUUGAGGUUUUCUAAAACAAUAAACUUCAUCUUGCCCGUAGAACAUUCAAUGUUGAAGUGUACGUUUUUGAUGUGGAAAGGAAAUUCUUACGAAUACUGCAGUAUUCAUUGCCCGGUAGAGUAUGGCUUUACUUUCCUACGGGACGGCUGCCACGCCUCUAUCUUCGAUGAUCACCGAGGGAGGAGAUAACUGACAGCUAGUGACUGGAGGCCAGGGAUGCUGCUAAUCAUUCUCAAGUGCACAGGAGGGCCAGCCAUAGCAGGAAUGUCAGACACUGAGGGUCCCUACUGUGGUGGCCAAACCUGGGCUCUGGAGUGGGGCUGCUGGGGAUUAGAGCCCAGUGGGCUGGCAUUGAGCAGGCUGCUAACCUCAUUGUCUAUCUAUAAAAUGUAAAUAGCAGCCUAUUUAAUUGGACUCACAAACCUUAAAAAUGUGCGUGUGAGGCUUUUAGGACAAUAUUUAACAUUGAGAGCAACAUAAACGUUAUUAGAAAUUUGGCUCAGUUUCUGCCAAAUUGAGUUUAGAAAGAGAAAAAAGCAGGACUGAGCAUUUACGUGUUCUUUGAGUAGGACUAAAAUGGCAGCGAAGAGUACCGCUCCAUCUCGAGACCUGGAUGCUCACACUGCACGUGAUUUCUUUUGUUUCCUAGGCGAGGAACUUCUAUCUUGGGGGGGCGUGAGUCACCUUGCUCUUACAGCUUGGAAGUCAAGUUGUUCUGUACACUUUGUCUACCAGCCCGGGGCGCUCCUUCCUCCGUCCAUUACCCCUCACACUUUGAAGCUCAAAAUGCAAGCCCCACAGUCCUACAGGUCCUGUGGAGGGUGAGCAGCACCACGUGUGAUGAAUGGAGUCAGGGUUUGCUCAGUGGGGCACAUGGACAGUCCAAUUCUGUGAAUUAAAGGUUAUCUUCAUGUAUGGGAUAAUUUUCCUUGUCUUUAAAUUUUCUGGUUUUGUGGGGGGUAAAACUCCACAAUACCUUAUAUCCUUUAAAAAGGUAAAAAAAAAAAAAACAAAAAAACCCUGUAGGUUGACUACAUGAACAAAGGAAAGCAUAUAUAGCUUUGCCUUAGUAUGUUUAUAUUGUGUGACAAUUAGACCAGAAAAUCUGCUUAUAAUUGUCAGAAUUAGUCAGUGGAGGAGCAGUCUAUCUGAUAUAUAAUCCUUACGUCUACAUUAUAAUCUCAAUUAUAAUUGUGGAUUAGUUGGCUAGAGGUUACUUGGUUUACAUUAAAGUUAUGAUACUGGGGUCAUACCGCAGAUGGAUAAAGUUCUUCCAGUCAACGGUUUUCUGUGUUCUUUGGGUACUGGGGGAGGCAAGACUCAUGCAUCCCUCAUGACUUACACACAGCUUACAUGACCCCAGUGGCAGCUCUUUGUUACCAGCCUGUUGGUAGAGUCUGUCCCCGGGCUCUGAAAGUGCCAUUCACUCGCCCCCAUUGGCUUUAGCGGCUUUAGUGCCAGUUGGUAAAGGAGAGGACCCAAUGAGUAAGACACAAGGGUGUCCUAAUGAGCCCAGGCACCAGGAUUUGUCCUGUGCCCAUUCUUUCCCCUGCCCGUGUGGAAACUGCAAACAUGUUUGGGAAGAUGGUUGCAGUUUUUUAUUUUGUUGCUUUGUUUUGAUUUUUUUUUUCAAAUAAAUAUUGUCGGUUAUGCUCUGAGAAGAGAACCCAGGAGGAUCUUGGGGUAACUUCUGUAGCAUUGCUUGCUUACCUUGGAACACUGGGGGGUGCCCUUGUGGGCCUGGAUGGAACCUGUGGAGGGGCUCCGUAGGAGUCACUGCUGUUGGGAAAAGGAGGUAAUGGGCCUGGACGGAAUGGGACUGGGGGAGCCCCAGAGUGGGGGCCUGGAGAGGGAAUGGCAGGAGCUGGUCCACGGCUAGAUGCGGGCCUCGGGAGGGGAGCACUUAGAGUCAGCCUUCUUUGGGUGGUGGGGCUUGGAGGAGGUGACCUGAGAAAAAAGACAAAGUUUUAAUUAUUCCACGCUUCCUUCUUGUCUCGAUUAGUCUUUAAAAAACAAAAACACCCCCCCCCCAAAAAAAACCAGUUUUGUAACUUCCAAGUUGCUUUUUAAAAAUUAAUUACUUUUUUGGCUAUAUAACGUAGAUACAUGUUAUAAAAAAAAUAAAUGCUGAUAUUUCAGUUUCCUUCCCUCAUUCCACCUUCUGGAGACAAUAACAUUUGGUGGUAUUUCUUCUUAAACAUAAGGUAUGUGAAUAUUUUUGCAUGCAUGCAUGUAUGUAUGUAUGAUAGAUAACGACCAUCUUCCUUGCUUUAAGCUUAUCUUGCCAUUUGGGACAUCUGGCACUGUUUUACUCCUUUAAUGACUAUCGAGUUUCAUUCUAAGGAUGCAUUUAGCUUGUUGAUGAGAAGAGUUCAUGCAUUUGAGCCCCCUUUCCCUUUGGGUCUGCAUUGUCUUGGGAAAGCAUCCUUAGAAACGGAGAGUGGACAAGCUCAGGUACUGCUGGGCCUCUUCCCUAACCUUCUGGAAUGCUGGAGCCAGGAGUCAUCUACUGGAGGUGGGGCUGGGGUGGACACAGUGACCGUGUUGAUGUCGCCAAUGAUCGCGAGGGCUUCUUUCAGGGCUUGGUACAUCCGGAGCAUCUCAUCCCGGCGCUGAGCCUGCUCCACGGAUUCUUCCAUUAGUGUGUUCUGGUCCUCAGAGGAGUAGAGCUGUGCUAGGAGUUCAGAGUUGAUGAAGUCUUUAACCUGUGAGAAAAACCAGGUGAGAGGGCAACACACAGGCUCCGUGGCAAUCGCUCACAAGGUCUUCCCGGAGAAAAGGGAAAUACCAUACGACUGUUUGGUUUUUGCCACCUUUCUGGUACAGAGGACAGCUUUCUCCCUCUGCCUUCUGUCUUUCAAAGAAAUGAUCGUAAAGCUAACAAAAAAAACGUUCAGACUUUGCUACCCCUAGCAUAUGGCUCAGCAGCUAUGCGGAUGCCUCAUGAAGUUCUUGGAGGUCACUUGGUUUAUAUGACAGGAAGGUCCCAUGAGGUAAUUUUUUGACAGUAUGUUGAAUACAAGGUGGUGAUGCAAAGGAAGCUUUGUAUAAGUUUUCUGUUUAUUAGCAUUCCUAGUCCUUUAGCUAAAUAGUUACCAAAAUAAUCAAACAUUACCCAUUCAAAGUUUUAAAGGUACGGUAAAGACAGAAUUAGUAAGUAUAAGUGGAUAUAAGAUAUUGAUCACAACUAUAUAGGUAUAAAACUAUGCAAGUUGAUUUCAAGCAACAUAAAAGAGACUGUUCUUAGUUGAACAGUAUCUCGUAGCAGGAUGGGAACAGAGGAUGCACAACACAGAACGGGCAAGGACUGACCAGUCUCCAUGCUUUAUCAGAUCUAAACAGUAGCCAGGUGCUUUAUAUAACUACAGAGAAAGUCUCAGUUAAUGUACAAUAAAAUACCCAGAUAUCGGGGUUGGGGAUUUAGCUCAGUGGUAGAGCGCUUGCCUAGCAAACGCAAGGCCCUGAGUUCGGUCCCCAGCUCCGAAAAAAAGGAAAAAAAAAAAAAAAAAAGAAAAAAGAAAAGAAAAAAAAAUCCAGAUAUCAUUAAGUAUAAGUACAUGUUCAUUUAUGUGUGAGAAAGUGAAUGUACAAAGCAGUGAAAUAUAUAUCUUCAUAUAUAUGGAUAUAUAUAUAUAUCCCAGUUUUCUUCAAAAGUUAUCUGAUUCAUCACAUAGUGGUGAGGUAAAAUUAAAACCUCACAAUGCAGAAACAAAUUUAGAGAUCGCACAGCUGUGACGUCAACCCAAAAAUCUUCUAACCAGUGCUGAUUCAAUUUGCUGAAAGCAUGUCACGCCAUGUAAAUGGCUAGAAAACGCAAUUCACAUUCCUUCAUCAUUCCUUCUUUGCCCUCUUAGCGUUGUGCUGCUAGUCCAGGGCCCUCGGCAUACGUGUGCACCACCAUCGAGCUAAGCCACUGCUCAUCGUUGAUAGUUUAGAGCAGCUGGCAAGUAGGAGAAUUACCGUAAACCAAGGAGAUAGGCCUAUUGGAAGUUUUCAGUUCCUCAGUGACCUGAGAAAGCUUAUCUGGGUUACUUAGAUCUAGGUAAAAGGCCAAAGCAAGAAUACACUUCAGAAGGACGCUAAGAUACCUGUCAGUUCAAAUUCUUAGGUUGUAGUUUGGAGUUUUACUCAAAUGAGAAGAUUCUAAAACACAGUUUCAUGUUUUAAAAAAAAGAUUUUAAUUUAUUUGAGUACACUGUCACUGUCUUCAGACACACCAGAAGAGGGCAUCAGAUCCCAUUUACAGAUGGAUGUGAGCCACCAUGUGAUUACUAGGGACUGAACUCAGGACCUCUGGAAGAGCAGUCAGUGCUCUCCGAUCCCCAUGGCUUCACUUUUUUUUUUUAAAUGGAAUUUUUAAAAAUUGAGAACACUGGAAGAGGUCAAAAGGGCAGGGCUGCAGGUAGAGUCAAUUGGUCUCAGGGCCAAGGGGACAGGAUGGCUUCUUUUUUUGUAGCCCUUGGGUAUGUAGUUCACACCACGGGAAGGAAGGUGUCCAGGUUAUCUGUUAUACAAUCCUCAGACGUUAGCACGAGUUAUACUGUGAAUAUAACUUCCAGUCCUGGUUCAAGGCUAGGCUCACAGUGGGGCUGGGUGGCACGCAGCUCUGUGGAGCUAUUCCAGCUAGUCCUCUAUGAUUUCCAGGGCACUUUAGGGAUUUGUAGAGACAGACUAACCCAGAAUAUGUGUUGACAAGCCUUCGAGAUGGUAGAGAAAGACAGUUGCCACCAAGUCUCAGAACCCGAGUUUGGUCCUCAGGUUCCACAUGAGGGAUAGAGAACAAGGACUCUUGAUUCCUUACAAGUUGCUCUCUGGUAAGAUAUCUGUUUCACUGUGGGUAAACACACAUAAACCAUAGCCCAAAUUGGAAGACAGAUAACUGGUUGACCUCACUAUUUUUGCCCAGAGUGAGCAGUGAUUAAAGUCCAGUCUAGAGAACUGGUACAUCUUAUUUCUUGACAGGAGACGGGAGGGGAGAUAGGAGAGAGGACCAGUUUCAUUGUUUUUGUAAAGAUUUCAACUAUGUAACGAAUUCUAUUCAGGUAAAAAACAUCAGUUGGUUUUUACCUGGUUGUGGUGAAAUCAACAGUUCCCUGCACACAUUUUUGUAAGCCAAGAGUGAUCCAAACAUGGGAGCGAUGUCAUGCACACUGUAUUCAGGGAUUGUCUUGUGGGUAUGGAAAGUAAAUUUGGUCAGCAAGUCUAGGACAAAAAUAUGAGAUCUCGGUACUAAUGAGAAGUGUUUAAACUUUAUCCACUUGGCAGUGUGACGAAAGGCUUUUAACAAGUGAGUGAAACAGGUCAUUAGGAAAAUUAAUUUGGCUUUAAUUGGUAAAAAAAUUGCAAGUUUAGUAGUAGACAUGGACCCGAUAGGAGGCUCUUAUUUACCAUUAUUCAUGGAAUGGUGGGAGUUUCUCAAUGCCACAGUAGAAUGGAAAGAUGGGUCCACGUGACCAAACACUACAGAGGAAAAAUCAUCUUGCGGUAUCAGCAUGAGAAGGAUGAGAGAGAAAAGAUCAUUCGAAGGAAGGUGUCACUGGAGUUGAUGUCUGGCUGAGUUGGAGAAUUGAAAAUCAAAUGGCAAAAGAGAAAGUCAGAUUUUCUGGGAACGUAGGAAAAGUGGCCUUAGGAAUAACUUAAGGUCUUUGAAGAGCUGUUCACUUUUAAACAUACAUGCAGGUACCUGGGGGAGGGGUGCAGAGACAUCUGCACAGACCUUCCAUUGUUGGGCAUGUGUGUUUAUGUUUGUGCACUUGGAUACAUCUUAAAACUCUAAACCAGACAGUUUUCUCUGACAUCAAGCAUCAGUGGGAUUGAACUCUUUUGAAACUUUACGUAUCACUCAUGAGCUAUUAAAUACGAUUUAAAAAGAAAGAUCCAAGAAUAGCUCUAAAACGGGUCUGAAUUAAGAAUCAAUGGGUCCUGAUGUUACAUACUGAGACUUAACCUGCUCUCCACUACUAUGCCUUCAUUUGGUAAUGUUCUGAAAGAAGGUGGCGUGGAUAGGAGGAAGAAAGACACAGUCUAUUAUUUUUCCUGUUAUUGGACUAAAUUGACAGUAGAUAGGCAGAGGCAGGGGAUUACAGAAACCUAUUACAAAAGUGUAGUUGUCAAGAUACACACUUAAAGACCCCACAUGGGUUAAUAUUUUAUUUUCCCUGUAAGGAAAAGUUUAGGCUGUCUUCUGGCUAGCCUAGCCUAGUCUUUUUCACUGCUACAACUGGAGUUUGCAACAACAACCACAGUUGAUAGGGGUGGGGACACAUUUGGGGGAGUUUCCAGACACUUUAGGGGCUUUCUGAACCAUUAGGGUGUUGGUGGCACAAACAUUUAAAUCGAGGAUUCUGCAGUACACCCACCACAGUAGAUCUCCUCUUAGGUGAACAGAACAGAAUAGACCAUUUAUGCUUGGAUGGGAGAUUUGGAGCAAUAUUUAUGCUUUUAAUUAUAACACCUUAUAACCUAUACAUCUUUGUGUGGCUCACAAAAGUUCUCACAUACAAAAUCCCAUUCCAGCUUAAACUCUGCGGGCUAAAUAAACAGGCAUUGCUGCUCCCCGUCCCACUGCUCAGUGUAAAGGAAUGUGAGGUCAUUAAAAAUGUUCCACAUGUUUUCCUCCUCCUAACUUUUAACCCUUCGCUAGUCUCCUGAAAGACGUUUGCCUCUUAAAACCUUUGGUAUGGUCGAGCCGUUUUUAACACCUUCACCAAGAGAUGGUUUGGUUGUCUGGAAGACCGGUUCCCGAAAUCUCUGAGGGGGAGUCACGGUGUAAAAUGGCGGUGUGGCUCAUUCACGUGUCUAGUGUUUUCACUGAAUCAUUUCAUUUUGUUCAUCUGGAGGUGAAACCGCUCAGCCACCGCCGCCCUCCUGUUCUCCCCUGGCUGAUUUAGCUUUGGUGUUCUCCUUCUGCGAAAUACAACCUCCAUGGGCUCUCAGGGCUGGACAAGGAGGUCAGGGAAAUAGAUACACAGCCGGCAUGCUGUAACAUUCUCAGGUCAGCGAUGAGCAAAAUGGAGGGGAAGAGUGGGAGUUCUCUCUGGUUGGAGGUGAAGAUGGGGGAGCCCCUUGUGAAAUGUUUUUUUUUGGGGGGGAGCAGAUGCCGUGUUUAGCCUAUACAACCAGAUCAUGGUUUAAAGAUUAGAAUAAUGUUCUACACAAAUGCUGACAAUAGAAAGCCUACUCGUUCUCUUUAAGGUUGGGACUAUGGACACGCUGCCAUGGGCCACCGGAGAGAGGAUGGCCAGGGGCCACUGUGGCCCUGGCAGCACCACUGCAAGUGUGUAAUACCUCUGGGUUUCAUCCUUUUUGUUCGUUUGUUCUGUUUUCCUUUUUUUUUUUCAAUUUUUAAGAAUUUUUGCAUUUCAUUUUGUGUUUGGAUUCAUUUUGUGAGUUUGUUUGGAUGUGAGUCAGAAUUUUUUAAGAUUGAAGACAUAGACACCAUUUCUCAUGUUCAAAUGAACACUAAUUAAAUCUUUGAGUCCUAUGAACUCUCUGGGGAGAUGACCCUGUGGCUAUACUGCGUAGGGGGAAGAAGCCCUCUGGGUUGCAAGGGCUGACUUAGCAUCAGACUGAGGCCCCUCAGUACAGUUUUGACUCUGACACUCACAGCUGUAUCAUCUUGGGCAUGUCAAACUUUUCAGUCCUCCAGUUCUCCAUGUAUAAGAUACAGAAGAGAUAAAAGAUGUCCAGGGGUGCAAACAAAGAAACCUAUCUACCAUACAUGAUGUUUUAGAAUAAAGCUAAACUUCUUCAUUCUGUGGUGGGGUGAACCAUGAGGGGCAUGCCAUGGGACCGUUGUGUGUGCUGGUCUUAAAGUCCCACACAGGGCUUUGCUACUUCGACUUGAACCUGUGGCCGCCUGUCAUAAACUCGAAGUUCCUUUGUGCUGCUGUUACCUCGUGUGUUUAAGUAACGAAACAGCUGCUGUGUUUCAAUAGACAAAGGCUUACAGUAUGUCUGAGGCCAGGCAUUUAUUGCCUGGCUUUAAACUUCUUAAACAAUUCCAUAUGGCGAACUGAGUGGCAGAACACUUAAUGUAAACUUUCAAAGGAAGCUGCCCACCGAUUCCCGAACUUUAUGAAAAGCUGGCUGAAACAUAUUCCUUUGCAGGAGGCUGGACAACCAGCCAUUCCUGCUCCAAGGGUGAAAGGCCAUGGGCUAAGAAGACAAGAGAACCCAGCGUCAGCAUUUCCUCAUUCUGAAGGAAUACCAGUUUAUAGAAUAGGUGGAAUUCAAACUUUUUUUGCUAGUUGUGAUUCUGUUACUAAUUCUCUCAUUCUAUCAAUUCAAAUCAAAUAAAAAAACAGUUUCCCUGUAUGGUAUAGGCUCAUUGAUUUAUUAGGUCUGUUCCUUUGUAUUUAACAGGAUACAUCUGGACCAAACAGAAAGGCUUGAGCAUUGAGAUGCCAUGAGAAUGCAAACAGAAGUAAAAUAAGACUCAAGACAAAUCAUCACUGUGCUAUCUGAACUCAGUUCUGCUAGAUGCAAAAGCUACAUUUCUAGCAUAGACAGCCAUCACCUCAGAAGAAUGCAGCAUGUUUGGCUUUCUCCACAGUCCUGUUAGUCUCUGCUUUACCAUCUGACCCUGGAGAUCAGGUCUGAACUGAAGUCUCCUUUCCCACGACUUGUAUGUGAGGUCUUUCUCAAGAUAACUGGCAGAACUCCUCCUCCAAGAAUAAUAUUCUGCUAGGGCCUGGGUGGAUAUCUUUCAGGAGUCCAGCUUCUCCUCCCACUCUGAGAGUCCUAGGGAUUAAAUCUCGGUUGUCAGGAUUGGUGGUAAGCACUUUUACCCUUUGGGCUACACCUCAGUGCCCCCCACCCCAAUUUUUAUAAAGUAUACUACUUUAAUAGAUGAGGGAAUGAAAAUAUUAAAUGGUAGAUAAUUUUCAUUAAAUCUUGAAGACUCCAUCAUAGAUCUCUGAGUAUGCCUGAACACCUAUUUCCCAUGUCUUUUUCUGUUCCUUCGAUGAGCCUGAGGACCAUUGGAACCAUUCAGAAAGUAAUGUCGACAUCAACCCUUUGAAGGCGGGAUAAUAGACAUUGAAAGUCUCACAGCAGUGCUAUGUACAGAGAGAUGCCAAGGCGUGGGGCUCGCUGCGUCUUUUCUCAGCUGGAGAGAACACAGGAUAACCUUCUAUAGAUCUACAUACACUUUGUUCCAGAUAACCAAGUUGUUGUUUUUAAAACAUUUAAUACAAUUAUACAGUUCACCACUACUGUAAACAACACGCAAAAAAAUAUAUAUGAUGGGACCUGUCCUCAGUGAGCCCAGCCGUCACUAUGAAAACACUGUUCCCAUGGUAAUGCACUUUCAGGUUUUUCCAGCCCCACAUUAUUGGAAAUGUUUUCACUGAAAACUUUCCCUGCUUCCAAUCAAUUGCCUUUAAGUUGCUCAGGCUCUAAAGUUAUGAGACCACGCCAUGCAAAAGCCCACAGUCCAGAAAGCCUCAGAGGGUGGUCUCCGUGUCAGUCAGCAAAUGUGACCUGUACCCGUGAAUAUUUAGUGUGUGGCAUGGAGCUGUAGAAGGUAUGACGUGGAGAAGCAGAGACCCACAUGUGAGCUCUAAGCAGGCAGGGCAUAAAGAAAAUUACAAGCCCGAGUCCAAGGGUUUGCUACAGGGGCUCAGGGCUCAGGGCACAGAGGACAGGGCGCAGGGCCUCUCUAUGGAUGGGAACUUUAGAAAACGAUCUCAGGACUCGGCUGAGGUUUAAACACGGUGACGGCAGGGGCAUGGCUAUCAUUGUCCCUCUAGGACUCUGCAGGAGCUUAGUGAGCAGUGUGGCCUUUUCAGAAGAGUCCCCAGACAGAGCCUGAGGUGGCUGGGCGUCAGCGUGGUGGGAAUGAAAGCGACCCUUCCAGUUCCUAUAACUGAGUUCUUCAUGUCGAUCCCUUCUUUGUGGACAAGAAGAACCACGGAGACCCAGCACUGCUUCAGUUAAGGAGGCGUCUUCCCUACAGCUCAAGGUGUUCCCGGAUUUGAACUGCGGUUGUGGUCAAAACACCUAGCAGCAGGAUGGCCUUGGGGCUGCAUGGAGCAUCCCCCAACACAGGAGGGAAAGUCCAGCCUAAUGUGACUGGGGUAGCACAGUGCAUCCUCACUGACAGCCUGGGCCAAGCCGUGGGUUUAGCCACUUUCCUUCCAUUCUUCUUAGACUUUUUAGUCACUUUACCUGAAUAGUCUGAUUUUUAUUCUCCAUGUAAUCAUCUAAGUAACAUCAUAAUAAAAAAUGACAGAACUGUGUGAUUAAAUAAAACCGCUAAUUAAAA
Molecule: non-coding RNA, 23234 nt
Organism: Rattus norvegicus (Norway rat)
Lineage: Eukaryota; Metazoa; Chordata; Mammalia; Rodentia; Muridae
Source: RefSeq, a predicted model, not a curated record